GGAGAGCAGUAAGCGGAGUUAAUCACACCCUUCCUCUCAAGGAGAGUCCACUCCUCUUUCCGGAUGGAGUCUGCAGAAGCUUCCAUUGGUUCCAGCUGAAGCCAAAAGCAGUCAUGUAUAGAGGACACGGAAUGGGCUGAUCUGAGCCUCUGUCAUUCCGUGGAGUUGUGAAUCUUGGUUCUUCCUGGAAGAAACUGAAGUGGACUUUCCUCCUGUCUGAUACUUCUCUGUCUUCAAAAGUGGAAGCACUCAAAGCUACUCUAUCCAAGAGAGUAGCUACUGGAAUCAGACAGACCCAAGCUGAAUCCGGGCACCACCAUUUGCUACAGCUCUUAACUGAAGGGAAGUCACCCACCUUUUCAGCUUCAGUUUUCUCCGCUGUUCCUGUGGGGUUGCCAUGAGGACUGAAUCUCCUAAUGUACAUGAAGCAAAGCACAACGGAGGUAGCAGCAGUGGAUGUGAAUCAGCAGGAGUGGUUGUUACUGUGCCACCGUUCCCUAUUUCCUUCCUGGGAAAUAUGAAGUAAAGGCAGUUCCAUUUUUCCCAGGGCUGGUUGGGCCGUAUGGCUGGCUAGGCCCCUUCUUUCUUCACCUUCCAUGUGCACCCCUCCAAGCAUGCAUAUGGGGUGGAAGUGGGUGUCCUUCCGGUGUUCUUCAGUUCAGGGUUCACUCCCAUGGAACAUGAAAAUGAAAAAUGGUAGAAAA
This 704-nucleotide long non-coding RNA is filed under the name Equus caballus (horse). RNAcentral's name for it is "lncRNA (ENSECAG00000050410.1)". Lineage: Eukaryota; Metazoa; Chordata; Mammalia; Perissodactyla; Equidae. The record is from RNAcentral.